UUUUCCGUCCCUUGCAAACCUCCAUUUCCGAUUCAGAUUCAACACACACAAUCCUUCCUUCAAUCCUUCCUUCGGAGAUGGAAGAUAAAGAGAGAGCGAGCAGAGUUGACGAGUAAUAUGAGAGCCUAUCGCCUUUCCAGGAAAGCGCUGUAGCAUUAAGAAGAGCCUGCAAGAUGACGGUUGGAAGAGAGUGAUGUCAGGAUGUUACAUAAGGUGUAAGUUUAAGACAAAGAAGGUAUAUAUAAAUAUUUAUCAGCAUGCAGUAUCCAUCAAAGAAACUACCUAAUAGGGAGUCAAAUGGGAGAACCUAUAUAUAAAGAUGCAAUCACAAGAGAUAAUUCACUGCACCUAAUGAUCAAUAUAAAGGUAUCAAGGGGCCAAAUAAUCUAUUCUAGUUUGAUACGUGACCUUAAGCUACACAUAUGUUAAUCUAAGUUGAUACACAUUAUUAGAGUUCCUUUCACAAAGAGAAGGCAGCUCACACCCCAAAUUGCCACUAUAAUUUUUGUUCUACAUGGCCUUAAAUGCUUCAAUAUCAACCCACUGCACGCACAACAUACUUAGCAACAAGAGAACUUGAGAUUUGCAUGUAAUAGCAGAAACCAAGAGAAGCCAGCUUAGCACUAUAUGGUCCAAAUUAAGGUGAAACCUUAAACCCUUAAUAGUAAGGCUUGGCUAGAAAGUGCAGAGAACGUAUAUAAUCCAGUAACUCCAAUGAAACAGUCACCUGAAGCUUAGAUUGGACAUUAGAGGAAAGUUGGACUGUCAUUAUAAGUGAAGUCAAGCAAAUUAAGCAAACUAUACUUUGCUCCUUAGUGCUCCGAAAGGAGGUUCACAGCUCUUAUUGUGUAUGCAAAUGAUCAUCAUGACAGGAAAUAAUGAGGAAGUAAUAUGAUGGUUAAAAGCUUCAGUGCUAUGGGAUAACUUGCGAUAUUUAAAACCAGCGUGUUUUUCUCUUUGAGGAAGUAUUGGAUCUCCCAACAAAGACAGUCAUCCUAUAAUGUAAGCCAAUUGACACUCCAAUUACUCAAAAUCAUCACCUCUAUGAAAUGUUGAGCCCUUCUGCCGACAAGAUGAUAACCACACUUGAGAGGAACUUAUUUAUUUUUCACACAAUUGGAGGCGACUAAUAAAUUAUAAAGGAAGCACAUUUGGAGAGCAUGUCAUAAAAUUUUAAGGUACUUAAAACAACAUCACUUGACUGGUUAGCGGUGUGUAAUCCCUAAGGAUUGGUCUAACCUAGAGUGUUCGCUUGUUUUACUGUGCACUUUCUUGUGUUCAUAUUCUUGUAAUUUAGUUUUCUUUGGUGGGAGGAUUUCUCAUCCUUCUCUUGUACUUCUUUUUCUAUCAA
Molecule: long non-coding RNA, 1351 nt
Organism: Vitis riparia (riverbank grape)
Lineage: Eukaryota; Viridiplantae; Streptophyta; Magnoliopsida; Vitales; Vitaceae
Exons: 2
Source: RefSeq, a predicted model, not a curated record